UCCCCACAUUCCCAAUGGUAAUUCCCCACAUUCCCAGUGGUAAUUCCCACAUUUCUGUGGUAAUUCCCACAUUUCUCCAUGGUAAUUCCCACAUUCCCCAUGGUAAUUCCCACAUUUCUCCAUGGUAAUUCCCACAUUCCCCAAUGGUAAUUCCCACAUUCCCCAUGGACAUUCCCACCUUUACCAUGGUAAUUCCCACAUUCCCAGUGGUAAUUCCCACAUUCCCCAGUGGUAAUUCCCACAAUCCCCACCGUAAUUCCCACCAGGAUCCCACUUCCACCUCCCCCAUGUGAUCCAUGGAAUUCCAGCAGCAUCCAGGAUCUGAUCCCUAUUUUUCUUUUCUUUUCCAGACCCACAAGAACCGCAAGCGGAGGAUUGCCUGCACGGCCGAGGAGCCGGAGGCUGUUCCCUCGGGAUUGCUCCUGGAUGUGGCCAAAUACCUGGGAUCGCUGCAGUACAACGUGUGGAAGAAGAUGUUGGACACCAUCUCCGCCGGUGAGGAGCCGGGAAUGUCGGGAAUGGGGUUUUCCAAGGGGUGGAAAAAUGGGAAAUGCAUUCCCAAUGGAGACAGGUUUUUCCUUAAAAUGGUGGUGGUGGGGUUUGGAAAGAUGGGAAAUGUGGAAGUGGAUUCUUCCCUAAAAGUGGUGGUGGGUCUGGAAAGAUGGGAAAUGUGGAAGUGGAUUCAUCCCUAAAAAUGGUGAUGGGUCUGGAAAGAUGGGAAAUGUGGAGAUGGGAUUGGGGAUUGGGGAAGUGAAGGGACGGGUUUGUUCCUCAGAAAGGGAAACUUGGGAAUGUGC
This 797-nucleotide long non-coding RNA is filed under the name Zonotrichia albicollis (white-throated sparrow). RNAcentral describes it as "lncRNA (ENSZALG00000007236.1)". Lineage: Eukaryota; Metazoa; Chordata; Aves; Passeriformes; Passerellidae. The record is from RNAcentral.